AACGUAGGACGCAAACGUUAUCCGGAAUUACUGGGCGUAAAGGGCGCGCAGGCGGGUGGGUAAGUGAGGCAUGAAAGCUCCCUGGCUAAACCGGGAGAGGAUGUCUGAGACUGCCGAUCUGGAGUGAGGUAGAGGGGUGUGGAAUUCCGCGUGUAGUGGUGAAAUGCGUAGAGAUGCGGAGGAACACCAGUGGCGAAGGCGGCACCCUGGACCUUAACUGACGCUGAGGCGCGAAAGCAUGGGGAGCGAACGGG
RNAcentral lists this unclassified non-coding RNA (254 nucleotides) under uncultured Anaerolineae bacterium. RNAcentral's name for it is "contains 16S-23S intergenic spacer region". It matches the Rfam family "Bacterial small subunit ribosomal RNA", at positions 524 to 776 of the family's 1533-position model. The record is from RNAcentral. Lineage: Bacteria; Bacillati; Chloroflexota; Anaerolineae.